AUUGAACGCUGGCGGCAUGCCUAACACAUGCAAGUCGAGCGGAAACAGGCCGCACGGUCCUGACUUGUGGUGACGGCGGGAGGGUUAGUACGAAGUGUGUCCCGUCGUGGGGGGUAUGUCCUCGGUAGAGUAGCUCAUAUCGCAUACGCGCUAUGGUGGAGAACGGGGGGGUUCAAUGGAUCGCGCGCUUUUAGCGGCCGCUGUCAGAUUAGGUAGUUGGUGGGGUAAAGGGUCGUCAAGCCAAGGAUCUGUAGCUGGUCUGAGAGGACGACCAGACACACUGGGACUGAGACACGGCCCAGACUCCUACGGGAGGCAGCAGUGGGGAAUUUUGGACAAUGGGCGCAAGCCUGAUCCAGCAAUGCCGCGUGCAGGAAGAAGGUCUUCGGGUUGUAAACUGCUUUUGUACGGAACGAAACGGCGCUAGUUAAUACCCUGGGCUAAUGACGGUACCGAAAGAAUAAGCACCGGCUAACUACGUG
RNAcentral lists this ribosomal RNA (482 nucleotides) under uncultured bacterium. Its description in RNAcentral is "partial 16S ribosomal RNA". It matches the Rfam family "Bacterial small subunit ribosomal RNA", at positions 30 to 507 of the family's 1533-position model. The record is from RNAcentral.